ACGCACGCUGGCGGCAUGCCUAACACAUGCAAGUCGAACGAGACCUUCGGGUCUAGUGGCGCACGGGUGCGUAACGCGUGGGAACCUGCCCUUAGGUUCGGAAUAACUCCCCGAAAGGGGUGCUAAUACCGGGUAAUGUCUUCGGACCAAAGAUUUAUCGCCUUUGGAUGGGCCCGCGUUGGAUUAGCUAGUUGGUAGGGUAAAAGCCUACCAAGGCGACGAUCCAUAGCUGGUCUGAGAGGAUGAUCAGCCACACUGGGACUGAGACACGGCCCAGACUCCUACGGGAGGCAGCAGUGGGGAAUAUUGGACAAUGGGCGAAAGCCUGAUCCAGCAAUGCCGCGUGAGUGAUGAAGGCCUUAGGGUUGUAAAGCUCUUUUACCCGGGAUGAUAAUGACAGUACCGGGAGAAUAAGCUCCGGCUAACUCCGUG
This 432-nucleotide ribosomal RNA is filed under the name uncultured bacterium. RNAcentral describes it as "partial 16S ribosomal RNA". It matches the Rfam family "Bacterial small subunit ribosomal RNA", at positions 29 to 507 of the family's 1533-position model. The record is from RNAcentral.